RNAcentral lists this long non-coding RNA (1094 nucleotides) under Homo sapiens (human). Its description in RNAcentral is "HSALNT0366800". Lineage: Eukaryota; Metazoa; Chordata; Mammalia; Primates; Hominidae. The record is from RNAcentral.
AUGUUGCCUUGGCACCGGCCUGGAGAGGGUUAGCACAGGAGCCAGGCUGAGUUUAAUUAAAGAAUUUCCGUGUGUCAGCAGCAGGAGACUUUGAUUAAAGUGAGAAGCAGCCAAGAUUCCGGGAAGCGCGUCUUUCUCCUGUCUCCUCCCCAAGAUGUGCGGGUGUCCUUCCCCCAACACCAUGGAAGAAGGGGUCCAGGAAGAAAAUGUCACACUUGCCUGUGACCCCCACCUGGUCUGCAGAAAGGCAGAGAAGACCUGCUUAUGGAGGAAAAAGACGGCCUCUGUCUGGAGCUUCUAUGAAUUACAUAACGAAUAAGUGAUUUCACUACAAAGCAGUGAAAUUUUUAAAAGUUAACCAGUGGCAGAAGUGUCAGGACAGUCUGCACGGGCAAGAAUGAUACCUAAAUCACUACUCAGGCACAGGAGAGAGCAGGACUGGCAUGGCUGGCAGGUAUGGACCUCCAUGAACCCCAUUAAACAGGAAGGGGCAAUAAGCAACCUUCUGGUUUAAGAGUCACAAAGUUAAUCUUCCAGUUCUCUAUGUAGCAGGCGCUGUACUUUGGCCAAGCCAAUCUCCAUUUGCAACAUGUUUCUCCCUUACUUGACUCCACUAUAGAGAGAGUAAAAGCUAAAUUUUGAUGUUCCACCCCCACCCCCUUAUUGAUAUGAGAAAUAAGUCUUCUGGUGCAUUCCUCUCCAAUUUCUGUCUUCUUUCCACUUGAGCUGCCAGGAGAUGCAACAGUCGUUUUGAAACCAAAAAGAUAAAAACUGCAUACUAAGAAUGCAUGAACCUAAAGAUUUACAGAGCCUGGGACACUGGGGAUACUUGGAGUCAAUGUAUCAGCCUUGGACUGAUUCCCAUGGGACUUCUUAUUACCCAAGUGAAACAGUCCUUCCUUUCAUCUGUUAAGCCACUAUGGUAUGUUUUGCUGGUUCUCGUAGCCAAAUACAGUUUUGACUGCUAUACCCAUUUUUUUCUUAUGGAUGUUCAUGACUUCUUUUAUAUUGUGGAUUGUAUUGUGAAUAUGUAUCUUAUUUGUUGCAAAUAUUUUCUCAGUCUUUUUGUCCUUUAAUUUAAGAUAUUAUUCAAU